This is a long non-coding RNA of Boleophthalmus pectinirostris (great blue-spotted mudskipper), 4298 nucleotides long. RefSeq lists it as uncharacterized. NCBI's taxonomy places the organism in Eukaryota, Metazoa, Chordata, Actinopteri, Gobiiformes, Gobiidae. The record is from RefSeq and is a predicted model, not a curated record. The transcript is spliced from 3 exons.
GUGAAAGGGGGAGGACUUUUAAGAUAACCACAAAGCACGUGUGUCUUUUUAUCUUUGCACAGUGAUAAAGAAGCAGAGACACUGUAGAGUGUUAGAGGAGCUGGGCUGAUACAUUGCAGCGGUGUGGUGCUGUUAAAGGAGCUGCUCGGUGCUGGCAAAGACGAGCAGUGUCACAAGUUUCCUUUUAGUGCAACCUAAAACACCCAGCUCUUUCUCCAGUCACCUGACUCUCUAACCACAGAAAACCACCCUCCACUGUCGAAGAAAUCAGCCCACCAACGUCAACCAACCAGCAUGAAGAAACCAGAUACAUUUUGAGAUGUUUUUGUCGGAAACAUUAUGAGUAUUUAAACAUCCUAUAUUACGCAAAAUUGACUCUUGUGACAUUUAAACUAUGUUAUAAUGUUGUCACCUCCACCAAAAACAUACCGGAGUUGUGUUUUGUUUCCUUCACAUGUUUGAGUAAUCCUUUAUUAUUAGUCUGUCUACAUCUCCAAAGCUAAAAAUGCUCUAUUCCACCUUGUGAUGUCAUGACGUGAUAGUUUUCAAGUUAACAGCUAAGGCUUUGGAAUUAAUUGAAUUUUGAUUGUGAUUUCGAUUUGUGUGUUAAACGAUCUCCAAACUCAUAAAAUCAAGUUGAUACGAUACAAAUUUUUUAUAUAAAUAAUUAUAUUUAUUUCAUUUUUUUGUAGAACAGCUGGAUAUAUAGUUUAUUUUGGAUACAUUUAUAUUUUUCUAUGCCUUAUUUCAUGUUCAAAUAUAUUUAAUUUUUUAUUUUUUUGUUUUAUGCAUCGCAAAACUGCUCUAAUGUUAUAUUCGUAGCCUAUAUUUAUUUUCAAUUUGAAAGUUUUGCGUAAAUUAUCAAUAACAAUGUGUUUUUUAGACAGAAAUGCUGAAUAAAUGCAUCGUGUAACUAAAAAAAUAAUCGUUUGAAUAAUCGUGAUUUCAAUAUUGACCAAAAUAAUCGUGAUAAUGAUUUUUUCCAUAAUCGAGCAGCCCUAUUAACAGCUGCCUUUUACCUUUUGUUCAGUAUAGAUUUGCAAUUCAGUGAAAAAAGCGGUGAAAUUAUCCAUGAGGAUUCUAGUGAAGGAACAACAUUUAUUAUCACAUGACAUCACAAGGUGGAACAGAGUGUUUUCUACUUGAGAGAAGAACGGGAUUUGUGUGUUAAACAUUUGUGAAUGAAACAAAACAAACACAACUCCAGGUUUGCUUAAAAUGAGAAAACAACAUUAUAACAUAGCUCAGAAAAUAGUGUAAUAUGGGUCUUUUAAAUUUUUAAAUCAGGAUUCUUAUCAAAUUUUUUGUCUAAUUAAUUUCUUGAACAUAAACUUUUAAUAUUAUCACACUAUUCUGCUCCAAACCAAAUGCUUUUACUGACAGACUAUUCAAAAGAUCCAAGCUGUUCAAUAAAAAACACUUAUAAUAAAAAUUAAUGUUUACAAGCAUUUUGACAGAGCCCCUAUUGUACGGUUUAUAUGAGCAUUUCCAUUCACGCUUUCUUUUAUAUGGGGCCAUUUUGAGGACAGUGGACCAUUCAAAAGACAGAAUAUCUUGUUUUGAAUUGUUAACUUCCACAGUAACGUUCUUCAUUUUCGUCUUUCUGAAACCCGUGGGUACAUUUGAGCAGAGAUAAAAAGGUACCAACAGGAACGGUUUGUAUUCUGGGGAAUUUACGAUGGUUCUAAAACUCUAAAAAUACUUGUAGCUCUGCAGCGGUGGAAGCCUCCAGGGUCAGAAGGUGGUUGAAGAUAAACUGAAAAACUGCAAUAAACAAAAACUGAAACUAUGUGGGAUGUUCAAACCCAACAUGAUAGAAAAGACUGAGACUACAACCACAUACACCAUCGAUCAAGUAGUAUUUAUUAUAAUGUAAUUUUAUGUGUUUUGGUGCUUUGUAAGCGUUGGAUGUGAUGUUAUUAAAGCUCCGAUACGACACAAAAUGAACUCUUGUGAGGUUUAAGUCUGUUAGAAUCAAAAACAGACCUGGAGUAGCGCGUGGAUUGGACCGAAUUUUUCUGUCCGAGCCCAGCCUGCGUUUGACAGAGCAGUGAUCGAAUCUGACCCGAGCCCCAUAGGCAUUAAGAUAUUUGUGUGUUCAAACCCGACACAAUUAAAAUCACACUAUUUUCACAGCCCUACAAAUGACACACAUGGGAUAUUGUGUCAUUUCUGGCCUUUCACGGACACAGAGACGCAAAAUACAAACUCGGGAUAAAGCGAAAAUAAAGAGAAGACUUUAUUACUCAAAAUGCAACGUCUCAUCCACAUUAUCCAUAGAAAUUAUCCUCCGCAAAUAAUGACAUCCAGUCCACAAAACCGCACUGUUAAUCCAGUUUGAGGCGUUAUUCAAAAGUAAAAAGGCAAGAGUAGUUCCUCGUGCGUGUUUGUUUACAUCCACACAGCACACGGAUCGAGGUGAAGCUGCAGAUUCACAAUAGUGACUCUACUUCUUGUGCUUCUUAUGCUUUAAAAAACAUGAAUCUGAAGUAUCGCACCACAUUUCACAAAUAAUAAUAACACAGUUUUGACUUGUAUCUGAACUAAAAGUGCAGUGCUCUGAUCUUUUGAACACUUAAGAAUCUCAAAGCGAGUCGUUUUUACUGUAAACAGGAAACAGUUGACGCGUUAAUGUGUCCGAGUCCGACGCGAGCCCAAACAUAAAUUGUAAAUAUUUAUUUUGUCCGAACCCGCCAGUUUCCGUCAGACUUCGGUCGGGUUUCCAUGUCCCAACCUGGACUAACCUUUUCUUUAGGGGUGCAACUAUAUCCAAGUCUCACGAUAAGAUAUCAUCACGGUAUGAACCUCACGUUACGAUAUUUAUUGCGAUAUCGUGGGAAAGCUCACUAUAUGGUGGGGAGGCUCGAUUAGGGAUGUAACAAUAUCCAAAUCUCUCAGACGAUAUUUUCAUGAUAUACAUCUCAAGGUACGAUAUUUAUUGCGAUAUUUUGUGGAGGAUAAACAGCUAAAACUGUGAAUAUGCUACUUUAUCUUCUUAAAAUGCCUUGACAAGACUUAAUCCAAAGAACUAAGACUUAAAAGUGCUUAGAACUGUUAUUUCUUCUUGUCGUCUGCACUGAAAUGGAGCAAAGGAUCAUGGUCUAUGUAGUUUUCUGUCUUUUUUUAGCUAUUGCUGCACCAUAUGUGAGGGUUUCAUCCUGCCCCUCCUACCCCUCCCUUCCCUGCUCUUUCUCUCCUUACCCUAUUUGGUUUUUCCUGAACGGACCCCAAUCACUCACCUGCUGAGCUCCACUCCUGAUCCUCGUCAAGUAAUCACCUCCUGCAAUAAAAGACCUGCUGACCUGCUCUCCAGUGCCAGAUCGUUCCCAUCCCAGUGCACUUCAUUUGGAGCCAGCCUCAUCCCGUUACCACCAGUUUCUUUAAGCCUCCAGUCAGCCUCCAUCUCCACAGACCUCCCAUCUGCAGCCAACCCGGACCCGUCCUGCCUCCCCUGGAAUCUAUCCCCCCGCCAAGACUAGUUUUGUGAAUAAAAUACUUUUUUUCCUUCUGCAUAUUUGGGUCCGACCAGUGAUUCCAUAACACCAUAACUCUUAAUUUAAGCAAAGAGACUUCGAUAUAAUUCGAUAUAUUGUGAUGGUCCACGAUAUUAUUGUGAGAACUUUGACGAUACGAUAUCACAAUACUUUGGUUAUUGUUACAUCCCUACUUUCCUUAUCAGUUUCUCUACCUCUCCAAACGUUGAAAAUGCUCUGGAAGCAGUAGUUUUCAAGUUAACAGCGACCACUAAGCUUUAGUUCUAUACAAAAUGGCAAUUCCAUGGCUGAAAUGAUUCAAAUUAUUCUAGCAAAGGUGUAUUUUCUAAACGUGUGAUUGAAACAAAACACAACUCCAGGUCUGUUUGCAAUGAGGAAACAACAUUACAGCAUAGAUCAGAAAAUAGCGCAGUAUGGACGCGUUAAAUAAAACUUGGGGCACAGACUUGAGCAAGGAACAGACACAAAAGAGGCACGUAAAAAGCAUUUUCUCUCUGGGCCCAAGAGCCACAUUCAGAGCAGAGCAGCAUUAACCCAGAAACCCUCCAAAACCCUCCUCCUCCCUGAGCCAUGCCAGUUUUAAAGAGCUCUCCGCGCUACUAUAAAAUAAAUCAGAAUUCACUACCAGCUUCUAUGGCUGUUACAAUACAAUAACGCAUUUGAAGUGUGAUUUUGUUCUACAAAACACAUCUUGGUUACACUGAAACGACUUCAUAAUGCUGCAAUUCUAAAGCAGGAACAGUCCACUAAAGUGUUUUCUAUUGUUAAAACCUGAGAUGCAAAAAAAAAAACGCAAUAGUACUG